UAGGCCUCCCUAUUCUUGGAAACAUCUUCCAGCACUUCCUGGGUAAUACCAAGAGGGCUUCUAGGAAGUCUGAGAAAUACUAUUCCUCCAGCAUGCCUUCAUGUCCUGGGCCUUCUCUCAGUGGGCUAUGUCUUGCACAGUCCCAGGAGAGACCACAAUGGACAACCUAUCUACCAGCCCAGAACGCCUCACCUCACCUCUUUCUACUCAGAGAACCUCCCAAAGCCAACUAGAAAUGAAUUUCCUCUUUUACUCAUCUGAAGGCUGCCGCUGAUAGAAAAACAGAUCUCAACACAAAUUAAUGAAAGAGCAGGAGAGAAAUGAAUGUGCACAGCAGGGAACACAAAAUCAUAUCAGCAGCUUGCCAGGACUCUGCAACACCAAGUCAGUUCACCUGUUGCUUGAAGUCAUACCAGCCAUACUGAGUCGCUGUGUCCUGGAUUGUAUUCAUUGUUGGGAUCUGGAUCGUCUUCUGUCUAACUGUGUGCUAAGGACUGAUAGUGGAUUCAUUGGAUUCCCCUCAAGAAAAGGAGCGCUCCUGAACCAUCCAUCCAUCUUCACCCUUACAGUGUCUACUGAGUCACAGAGAGCAUGCAGCACUGGACACAAGGUGAGAAUGAGCAGUGGACAAGGUGUCAGUCAUUCAGUCAGUCCACGGGAAAUGAAAAAAUGAACAAGAACAAAACCCGAAAAAAGAGUUUAAC
This is a long non-coding RNA of Polypterus senegalus (gray bichir), 704 nucleotides long. RefSeq lists it as uncharacterized. Lineage: Eukaryota; Metazoa; Chordata; Cladistia; Polypteriformes; Polypteridae. The record is from RefSeq and is a predicted model, not a curated record. The transcript is spliced from 4 exons.